GACGAACGCUGGCGGCGUGCUUAACACAUGCAAGUCGAACGGUAAGGCCCUGUUUUUGUGGGACGCUCGGCUAGCGAACGGGUAACACAUGGGUGAGUUGCCUGCCCCUGUGUUUUGGACCUCUUCAGCUGAGUGGAGUACCUAAUGGAUCUGCGCUAUGCCUGCAUGGUGGGGGUUGGCUAUUUUGGGCGGUUGGGGAUGGACUCGCGGCCUAUCAGCUUGUUGGUGGGGUGAUGGCCUACCAAGGCAUUGACGGGUAGCCGGCCUGAGAGGGUGACCGGCCACACUGGGACUGAGAUACGGCCCAGACUCCUACGGGAGGCAGCAGUGGGGAAUAUUGCACAAUGGGCGCAAGCCUGAUGCAGCGACGCCGCGUGGGGGAUGACGGCCUUCGGGUUGUAAACCCCUUUCAGCAGAGACGAAGCGUAAGUGACGGUAAGUGGAGAAGAAGCACCGGCUAACUACGUG
Molecule: ribosomal RNA, 468 nt
Filed under: uncultured bacterium
Lineage: Bacteria
Description: partial 16S ribosomal RNA
Rfam family: Bacterial small subunit ribosomal RNA
Source: RNAcentral